AUGUUCCACGUAUCCAAGCGUGAAUCCAGGCGUUCCCCCAGGCCCUGUGAGAAGCUCUCACAGUCCUUCCAUGAGACAGCCCCGGGAGCGCCCCAUAAACCCCUCCACUCAGCAGUUCCACGCAAAAGGGAACUGAGGCAAAGCCUCCCCAUAAAACAGCCUCCCCCCGGCAGGAGCUGGCCCCUCAUCAUCCUCACACUCACACCUGGGCUGCUCCGAGCCCCCCAUCAUCCUCACACUCACACCUGGGCUGCUCUGAGCCCCCCAUCAUCCUCACACUCACACCUGGGGCUGCUCUGGGUUUCUUUCCAUAUGAAUUUAGGGACAAAUUCCUAUUCUUUACCAAUAGCUAUAAAAACGAAUACCUGGACAGGUUUUAGCAUUCUACACCCACCCUUCCCUGUGAAUUUGGCGGCAGCUUUGGGUCCCUCUGGGGCACGGCCCCCAGCGUGACGCCCCUUGCCCACCACCCACCUGCUCCUGCACUGCAGUGGGGCUCCCGCUCCUGGGGACCUCGGGGUGCCCCCAAUGGCAUCAGAGCCCCGAGUCUUCACCCCCUAUUCCUGACCCCCAAAGAAGGCACAGAACGAGUCAGACUGCCCUGGACAGCAGCGCAGCGCUUCCUCCAAGCCCUUUGCACACGUCCAUCCCCGCAGAAAGGGAUUCUGCUGCAACAAGAAAGGGGGGGCAGGCCCCAGAAGGGUUGAGGCUCCUCCCCAGCCUCGCUGUUACGGGCCAGGGGCAGCAAGAGGGAGCGGAAGCAGAGAGGACACAGGAAGAAAAGGAAGAACAGGGUGCAGGAUGAAAUUGAAAAACACCCAAACAAACAAAAAAAACCCAAACAAAACCCCCAAACAAACAAAGAAAAAAAACCCCAAACUGGGAUGAGCAGCACAACAGAGAGGCAUUAAAAAAGAACACAAACAGGGAAUGGGACACAAGGAUCCUCUGAGGAACAAUGGCACGGGCAGCACCACAGAGAAUAAAAAGGAACAUGAGCGAAGCA
RNAcentral lists this long non-coding RNA (1006 nucleotides) under Zonotrichia albicollis (white-throated sparrow). RNAcentral's name for it is "lncRNA (ENSZALG00000007100.1)". The record is from RNAcentral. Lineage: Eukaryota; Metazoa; Chordata; Aves; Passeriformes; Passerellidae.